AUAAUUAAUAAAUAAUAAUAGUUUUUGUUUACAUUCACAAAUCCAAUAUCUACUACCACCGUUUGCAAGAAUGUUAUCAACCCAAGCUGGGGUUAGUUUGUUUAUUUUUCAUUCGUUUUUGGAGUAAUGUUUUGACUCCUUGGCUCUGAAAUUAAGCCACAAAAAAAAAAAGCUACCAUUCCAUAAAGAAACCUACUCCACAAUUCCACGGCUCGCAAUACUCCCACAAACACUGGGGCUCUCCUCCUACUGUGCUCUUGCUGCAGUGCAGACUGCUGCCACCUGCCCUCAAAGAAGAAAUAUUACAGUUCACGUUUGGAAGACAUCUCACCACACUAUGGAUUUAAUCCUGGUUAAGUAUGUUGCCUGUGGCACCCUUAAACACGUGAGUGGCUUAUCAAUUUUCCCCUACUCACCUUCCAUCAUUCCAUUAAUUAUUUCUUCUAAUUUAUAUCCCUCUCUCUUUUUUUGCAGUUGCAAUUUACUGACGUCAUGUCUCACAUGCAUGCCUAACAUUGGACCUGGAUGUGGAUGAGGAGGAAGCAAAUAGAAAAACACAUGAGGUUUUUUCAGCACUUCAUAGUUUUUUGACAUCGAAAUAAUUUCUUCUAUGCCAUUGUCAGUGUAUCAGCUCCACACUUCCCAGAGCUACAAAUCUAAACUCAUGCUUUAUCUUGGCCCUGGUAUUUUGAUUCCAUUCUGACCACCAGGGAUCUGAAUGCUGCUCAGCUCCAUGCAAGAUAACAUAUUUAUCAGCAUAUGACACGCACAUUUAACUCCUGAAAAGCUUUCUGUUAAAGACGGAAGAAAGAGUGAAGAUAAUGUUGAAGAUAAAGUUCUUAAAGGGUCCCAGUAGGUUGCAGUUUGCGCAGUCCUCCUUGAUAUAUCAAUCCCCCUUCAAAUCACAGUGUCCCUUUCACAGUCACGUUCUAAAGGUAUGAGGUGUCAUUUUUGUACGAAUUUUUAAAUUGAACUUUUAGGUGUAUUACAUGAAAAUGCCUAUGUGUAAAUAGGGUACAUGAUGAUAAUGGAGUUAGUGCUGUGUCCUGUUUCUUCCCAGAUCAUGCACUUACCCUGAGGAGGAGCAAUGGUCCUGCCAGAAGCCGAUGCUGGAGGGUCUUGAAUGCAGCUUUCUGUUAAAGACGGAAGAAAGAGUGAAGAGUCAAGCUCUAUGAUUUUGACCCCUGCUGCUGAAUCCAGGGACAUCCUCUGCCAGAAGGACAUCUCUUAGCUCCGCCUCCCACUCUCGCAACUUGAUAGGCUUUCCUCGGUUUUGUCCUAGUCGAAGCCUCUGCAUCUUCUUUGUAACCGUUGCCCGACAAUCAUAGAACCUGCAAAUGUACAUAAACAUUACAAUUACAUUAAUAAAAAAACAAAUACUUAGAUUAAUGUUUUUUGAAAACCACAUUUCUUUUCACAUUGUGAUGGUUAUAUGUAUACUGUUCAGCAUGUGGCUGUGACAAAUAAAUUUUUUGGUUACGUUGAACUGUUA
Long non-coding RNA from Rana temporaria (common frog), 1492 nucleotides. RefSeq lists it as uncharacterized. The record is from RefSeq and is a predicted model, not a curated record. Lineage: Eukaryota; Metazoa; Chordata; Amphibia; Anura; Ranidae. The transcript is spliced from 5 exons.